UGACUCUCAGCCAGAAAUUAAGCAAUAUUUCCUGACCUUCCAAGACUGAAUUGAGGAUUCUGUUUUCUGCCUUUUCUUCAAGUAUAUUGACUUGAGUGGCAGAAAUAGUGGUUUAAACUUUCCUGUUCUCUUUUCCCAUGUCUACCUCUAACUGAACAUGGGGUAGAAUCUGCUGUUUGUUUAUAUGCUUUGAUUUUCCAAGGACUGGGCCUAUGACUUGAUACACAUAGUAAAUCCUGUCUCACUGAAUGAGUAGCUGAGGGGUUGAGAAAUUGGAUAUAUUUGUUGAAUUUGUGUUUUAUUGUUCUGUAGGAAGGAACGUCAACUCUAGCGGGCAAGAAGAGUAAAAAACGUUUUUUCAUCACUCAAGUUGCUCCACAACAGCCAAUUAUGAACUCUGAUCACGGAUUGGACAAAGAUAACAAAUGUAAUAAGGAGUCUACCUCCCAAAGAGAUCCUGAAGACAGCAAAUCACAAAAGAAUUCGAAGGAAGGAAUGUCAACCGUAGCGAGUAAGAAGGGCUUAAAAGAUAUCGCCAUCACUCAAGUUGCUCCACACCAGCCAGUGAAUAAAUAUGCGUUCAACUAUGAUCGUGGAUUGGACAAUGAUAAGGAGUCUACCUCCCAAAGAGAUCCUGAAGACAGCAAAUCACAAAAGAGUUCGAAGGAGGAAUCCUCUGCAGAACCUCUAAAGAGGGAAGAAGUUGCAGUGCCUAUCUCCGGAAUAAGUGAUGAAGCUGUAGAAUCACCGUGGGAUUCUGAGGAAGAAACAUCAAGUGGAAAGGGUGAAGUUCGUGCUGGCACUGGAGGUGUCCCAGAAGGAGAUAUUCUGGAUUAUUUCCUGUCAUGUAGUUGGGCAAGGAUAGCCAAAGAGAGAAAAGCGUCAAUGGCAUCAAGUGGAGAUACUGAAAAGGAUGUGGCUGUCAGUCUAAGUGCACAAGAGCAUGCAAAGGACACAUUAUCUGGUAUUGCUGGAGUGCCAGAAGACAAAACUAUUGGUCAGUAUCUAUCAAUGAAACACUGUUUAAGUACUAAUGUCUGAACUGAAAUGAUUUCCAUUAUUUUGAUGAUUUUUCUUUCGCUAUUUGUUUCUAUGUCCAACUCAACCUGGUUUAAAGUGCUGAUUGAACAAGCAGAAAUUCUUUUUUUUUUAAUUUAUGUUUUUAUCAGAAAGAGAUACAGAGAGGGAGAGGUGGAGUCAGAGGCAUAGAGGCAGAGUGUGUGUGUGAGAGAGAGAGAAAGAAAGAAAGAGAGAGAGUGUGUGCAAGAGAGACAGAGAGGGAGAGAGAGAGAUCUUGCAUCUGCUCGUUCACUCCCCAAAUGGCCACAAUGGGCAGGACUGGGUCAGGCCAAAGCCAGGAUCCAGAAGCAUCUUCUGGGACUCCCAUGUACGUGCAAGGGGCCAAAGACUCAGGCUAUCUUGUAUUGCUUACCCAGGUACAUUAGCAGAGAGCUGGAUCAGAAGUGGGGCCACUGGAACUUGCACCCGUAGCCAUAUGGUAUGCCAUUGCUGAAUCGCCGUGGCUCUACCUGCUAUGCCAGAGCACUGGCCCUCUAUCUGAAAUUCUUUAUUGCUGUUACUUAAAUUUUAGUAUAUUAAGAAUGACUCAGCUGAAUGUGGAAAUUUUUAAAAGCAAUAGUUGGGGCUGGCGAUAUGGUGUAGUGGGUAAAGCCCCCGCCUGCAGUGCUGGCAUCUCAUAUGGGCACUGGUUCAAGUGCCAGCUGCUCUACUUCCCAUCCAGAUAUCUGCUAUGGCCUGGGAAAGUAGAAGAUGAUGCAAGACCUUGGGCCCCUGCGCCCACAUGCCCACAUGCCCACAUUGGAGACCCAUAAGAAGCUGCUGGCUCCUGGUUGCAGAUUGGCAUAGCUCUUGCUGUUGCAGCCAACAGGGAGUGAACCAGUGGAUGGAAGACCUCUCUCUCUCUGUCUCUCUCGGUAUAACUCUGACUUUCAAAUAAAUUAAAAUAUCUUUUAAAAAAAAGCA
This is a long non-coding RNA of Oryctolagus cuniculus (rabbit), 1983 nucleotides long. NCBI's taxonomy places the organism in Eukaryota, Metazoa, Chordata, Mammalia, Lagomorpha, Leporidae. The record is from Ensembl.